GAUGAACGCUAGCUACAGGCUUAACACAUGCAAGUCGAGCGAGCGGCGGACGGGUGAGUAAUGUCUGGGAAACUGCCUGAUGGAGGGGGAUAACUACUGGAAACGGUAGCUAAUACCGCAUAACAUCAGCUGUGCCCAGAUGGGAUUAGCUAGUAGGUGGGGUAAUGGCCGACCUAGGCGACGAUCCCUAGCGGGUCUGAGAGGAUGACCAGCCACACUGAAACUGGAACACGGUCCAGACUCCAACGGGAGGCAGCCAUGGGGAAUAUUGCACAAUGGGGGCAAGCCUUGUGGAGCCAUGCCGCGUGUGUGAAAAAGGCCUUCGGGUUGUAAAGCUCUUUCAGCGGGGAGGCGUUUCCCGCAGAAGAAGCACCGGCUAACUCCGGGCCAGCAGCCGCGGUAAUUC
Molecule: ribosomal RNA, 406 nt
Filed under: uncultured bacterium
Lineage: Bacteria
Description: partial 16S ribosomal RNA
Rfam family: Bacterial small subunit ribosomal RNA
Source: RNAcentral